ACCCAAAUGGUACGCUCGCGUCACCGCUGACGUCAUCCCCGAGACCCCACCUGUCUGCAUCUCUACUCCUUCUCUAUCUAUGACAGUGGGACCCGCCCGUUAUCUCCUACCUCCCGUCCGAGUCGCUCUUCAGCACGACACCGCCGCCGCAUGAACCCCACACGGAUCGCGCUCGAUCUCCCUGAUCCCUCCGUCAUUCGGUCCAUCUCCAACUACAACGAGACCUACGCGACUUCCUCGCUCAAUUUCUACACCGAGCACUCGAUUUCUAGUUCGAGAUCGAGUACACUGACCUCGCAAAGCUCUCCUGAACGAGCUUCCUUCCAUGGCCAAACACAAGAAUCUGGGCCCCCGUCAACCGAUCUCGCCGGGACGCGCAUAGCACCGCCUGACUCCGCCCACGUUUCCCCAUCACUACCGGACGCACCGGAGCGCCCCUAGGACGCCCUCGGACGCACUUCUCGCCGCCACACCUCCCGGUCCCACUUCCCCAACUCAUAGACCGCCGGAGAUGAUGCUAUCAUCAACCAGAGCCUCGCCGCCGUCGUCGUUUUCCUGUCCGGAGAGAAAUCCAGCGACUCCCAAAUCCCAACGACGCGGCACAAUGUGAGCCAUUCAUCAUCACUUAAAAUCAACAAUCCUGCUUAAUCUCAGCUAAACUGGUACCAGCUUAUCACGUGUUGACAUGUGGUACUCCCAGAACAGCUGCGGCUGUAGUUCAGAAAUGAUGUCACGGCAGAAUUUUUCACAUAUUUCAAAUCGAACUUUGUUCCGUUAUA
This is a long non-coding RNA of Triticum urartu, 779 nucleotides long. RefSeq lists it as uncharacterized. NCBI's taxonomy places the organism in Eukaryota, Viridiplantae, Streptophyta, Magnoliopsida, Poales, Poaceae. The record is from RefSeq and is a predicted model, not a curated record.